This 958-nucleotide long non-coding RNA is filed under the name Olea europaea subsp. europaea. Lineage: Eukaryota; Viridiplantae; Streptophyta; Magnoliopsida; Lamiales; Oleaceae. The record is from RNAcentral.
CACUCAUUCAUCUCUAAAAAAUUACCUUUUGAUUUCUGACAGUUCAAAUGGGACACAAGUGUACGUCCCAAAUUUAAGAAUUGCUUAUAUGACGAUUGUGGCUCGUCUAAAUCGCCUAUAUAAGGAGGCAUUAAGUGUUUUUCUUCUUUUUACACUUUUGCAAAAAAUUGCUAAGCAAGUACAACUUUCUUUGCAUCUUUUCGACAGUAUUGAGCUUCUUCUUAUCAGGCAACAAACUUUCUUUUUUCUGGUCAAUUUGUUUAGUUUUUGUGAAAGUCAUAAAUUAGUUUCUUUAAGUUUUUUGUUUUCUAAAGUAGUAAAAAUGUCCUUUUCUUCGAAAAAGACAACCAAAAGUAUUUCUUCCAAGGGGGCAGACAUGGCCAUGAUAUGUUCUGAGACUAUUUUACUACUAGUAAUCCCUACCGAGAGAAUUAUGGAGGCAAUGGAGGUUCCUUAUAGUGGUUGGAUAAUGCAGAAGAGCCCAAUCGACUAUAGUAUUAGGUGGAAGGCCUCUUUGUGUUAAAGAAAAUGAACCGGUGUUGUUUUGGUAACGCUUUAGGAUCCUAGAUAACGUGGAGAUGUUUGUUCCAACCUUUGAUGAAUGAGCCUGCUUUCUUAGGGAAGGGUGCGUUGAGGUUAUUGAGGAGAUUCUCUAUGCCAACAUGAGGUUGCAUUUGCACCCAUUUUUAGAUUCCUACUUGGGGUAAUACAAUCAAAAGCCCACUCAACUUCUUCCUUAUGCAUGAAGCCAAUUGUCGAUGGGCCUUUCUUCUUUGGAAAUAGGUAAUUCUUGGUGAGAAUAUGCCUUUUCAUAUAUUUCUAAGCGUUUUCCUACAUCAAGCCUCUAGUAGGGAAAAUAUUUCAAGGGAAGAUAUUGUAUGAACCCCUGAGAAUCAUAUUCAUCCUUCAUAUAAAGUACUUCGACUUGUAUUAGGACUGGAAAUUAUCUUGGUUCUAG